This 27-nucleotide microRNA is filed under the name Acyrthosiphon pisum (pea aphid). Its description in RNAcentral is "api-miR-3054". The record is from miRBase by way of RNAcentral. Lineage: Eukaryota; Metazoa; Arthropoda; Insecta; Hemiptera; Aphididae.
UUAGUGGAUUCGCCUGUUGACACCGGC